Molecule: ribosomal RNA, 1147 nt
Filed under: uncultured Cantharellales
Lineage: Eukaryota; Fungi; Basidiomycota; Agaricomycetes; Cantharellales
Description: eukaryotic LSU rRNA
Rfam family: Eukaryotic large subunit ribosomal RNA (bases 295-1147)
Source: RNAcentral
UCCACAGCUUAUACGUGAACCAUCGAAUCUUUGAACGCAAAGCACUAUCCGAACGWCACCCCCGUGAUAGGUAUGCCCCAUUGAGCGUUAUUUGUCCAUUCAGACACCACUGUGUUGACUCACUUUGGUGGAUGAGUUCGAGGUUCACACUUCAAUGCGUUCCUUGAGAUUCAUUAGCAACCGAAAUCGUAAUUGGUGUCCAUCCUGUGAUGAUUUUGCAGGCCAAGGCCCGGUUGGUUGGUGCUGAUAGCUGCCUUAGCUGGCAAAAAUGGUGCUCGCACCCUCAUUCUGUACAUAACCUCAGUGGGGUAGGAUUACCCGCUAGACUUAAGCAUAUUAAUCAGCGGAGGAAAAGAAACUAACAAGGAUUCCCCUAGUAACUGCGAGUGAAGAGGGAAUAGCUCAACGUGUGAAUCUGUCCGGGAGUAACCCCUGGUUCAGAGUUGUGCACUGUAGACGUCGGUUUCUGCGCUUGAAUUCCAGUUGUCAGUCCCAAGUCGGAUGAAACACCGCACCACAGAAGGUCAUAGCCCUGUGUCUGACUGUGCUUGAAUUUGCGCCAAUGACCGCACGUUCGUCGAGUCGCGUAGUUUUGUAAUGCUGCGCCAAUUGGGAGGUGGAACCCUUCUAAAGCUAAAUAUCAUGACGUGACCGAUAGCAAACAAGUACCGCGAGGGAAAGGUGAAAAGCAACCAUGUAGAAUGCGUUGAAACAGCAGUGAAAGUGCUACUGGGAUAAGGGCUAUUGAGUGCUAGUCUUUUGGUAGCGUGCUUUAGUGCUGCUCCAGGAGCGGCCUGCGUUGAUUGGAACUGGGAGACAUGCUCGGGGUUGAAUUCGGCCAAUGGCUUGCCACUGGUGUUGUAGCUCCCCGAAGAGUUGAGCCCAGAACCGAUCAAAGAUGCUUUACGGCGUGCAGGUCCUGCGAUCAUUAGCCGCCCGUCUUGAAACACGGACCAAGGAGUGCACCUUACAUGCGAGUCGAAGGGACUGUAAUCCCCGAGGCGUAGCGAAAGCGAAGACCGUGAAUGUCCUUGAGGCAGGCGACGGCGCCCACCGAGAGGUGAGGUAGAGCAUGCAGGGUGCGACCCGAAAGAUGGUGAACUAUGCUCGGGCAAGGUGAAGCCAGUGGAAACGCUGGUGGAGGCCG